This 433-nucleotide unclassified non-coding RNA is filed under the name soil metagenome. Its description in RNAcentral is "partial contains 5.8S ribosomal RNA, internal transcribed spacer 2, and large subunit ribosomal RNA". The stretch from base 1 to 120 matches the Rfam family "5.8S ribosomal RNA", at positions 35 to 154 of the family's 154-position model. The record is from RNAcentral.
GAUGAAGAACGUAGCGAAAUGCGAUACGUAAUGUGAUUUGCAGAAUUCAGUGAAUCAUCGAAUCUUUGAACGCAUAUUGCGCUCUCUGGUAUUCCGGAGAGCAUGCUUGUUUGAGUAUCAGUAAACACCUCAACUUCCAUAUCUUUUUUGAAAUGGGAGUUGGACUUGAGUGAUCCCAACGCUUUUCCUCACCGAAAAGUGGCGGGUUACUUGAAAUGCAGGUGCAGCUGGACUUUUCUCUGAGCUAUAAGCAUAUCUAUUUAGUCUGCCUAAAAAACAGAUUAUUACCUUUGCUGCAGCUAACAUAAAGGAGAUUAGUUCUUGUGCUGACUGAUGCAGGAUUCACAAAGACAGGCUUCGGCCGACUUUGUAAACUCGAUCUCAAAUCAAGUAAGACUACCCGCUGAACUUAAGCAUAUCAAUAAGCGGAGGA